RNAcentral lists this unclassified non-coding RNA (211 nucleotides) under Hevea brasiliensis (rubber tree). Lineage: Eukaryota; Viridiplantae; Streptophyta; Magnoliopsida; Malpighiales; Euphorbiaceae. The record is from RNAcentral.
GUGAACUUCAGAGAGACUGUCACUCAACGUGCUGAAUUUGAUUAUUUACAUAAAAAACAGACGGGAGGCCAAGGGCAGUAUGGACGAGUAUGUGGAUAUAUUGAACCUCUUCCUCAUGGAUCGUCGACUAAAUUUGAGUUUGAGAACAUAAUUGUUGGACAAGCUAUACCGGCAAAUUUUAUCCCAGCAAUCGAGAAGGGUUUUAGGGAAG